RNAcentral lists this ribosomal RNA (162 nucleotides) under Escherichia coli 2-052-05_S4_C3. Its description in RNAcentral is "partial 16S ribosomal RNA". The record is from RNAcentral. Lineage: Bacteria; Pseudomonadati; Pseudomonadota; Gammaproteobacteria; Enterobacterales; Enterobacteriaceae.
GACGCUUAUCGCAGAUUAGCACGUCCUUCAUCGCCUCUGACUGCCAGGGCAUCCACCGUGUACGCUUAGUCGCUUAACCUCACAACCCGAAGAUGUUUCUUUCGAUUCAUCAUCGUGUUGCGAAAAUUUGAGAGACUCACGAACAACUUUCAUUGUUCAGUG